This 8175-nucleotide long non-coding RNA is filed under the name Nicotiana tabacum (common tobacco). RNAcentral's name for it is "long non-coding RNA (NTAB_LNC001044)". Lineage: Eukaryota; Viridiplantae; Streptophyta; Magnoliopsida; Solanales; Solanaceae. The record is from RNAcentral.
UCCAAACAGGAGAUCACGUGACUAAAGCUUUUGAGAAUGGCGAACGGGCAUUUCUUUCUUUUUCCUUGUAAGGUAUGCAUUCAUGCAGACAGAUAUAGAUAAGAUCUCUUUUUAUAAAAGAAGAAAUUCGAUACCUUAUCAAUGGUAACAACUCAUUUGAAGCAUAUAUAUACAAGAGGAAUUUGUCUCUUUAGGCCCUUUUUUAUUUACUGUUCACUCGAGUAUCAUUAUCAACAAAACAGAUUCUCCUUUUCUUUUUUGGUAGAUUAAGGAUGUUACUUUUCUUGUAAUUUGGCUUUCACUUUCUAUUUUGAUUCUUGUUUCAAAAUGGUGAGACGCUGUACAAUGGUAGAAUCGCCUAUUUUACACAUUCCAUAAAUAUUGUAAUUGUUAUUAAGAAGUUAUAGUUGAAGUGUACUGUGUCUUACUCUUUGGCUAUUGGUAGUUGACGUCUUUACUGAAAUUUUAAUUCAUGGGAUCCAAUUGGGCGGGGAAUGUGAAUUUAGUCUUCUUAUAAGUUAUAUGGUCUUUGGUAAUUCUCUAGCUAGCUUUUAGGGUUUGAAUUAGGCCCAAGGUUCAUUUUCUUAUUAAGCGAAGGUUGUAAUGAAUGGGCCUCUCAAAACAUUAUACUCCUAUUACUUUGAAUUUCUGCAAUUGUGUACAUCUAUAGGAUAUUUUGUUUGUUCAAGCCUAUGGCAUGUAGUACAUGAGUGUUUUGGUAUGAAGAUAAUUGCUGCCAUAUGCUUAUUUGGUGAUGAAAUUCCGGAUGUUGGUCAAUACAGGAGCAAAAUUAUUAAUUAAUCCAAGUGUAUUAUCCAAAACAAACAACAAGUGUAAAGACAAUUUUGAUGUUAAAAGAAUAAGACGGGAAAUUGGACAGAAACAUUCGCUAUAAAAAGUUGUAAACGGAGAAAUACUAAUUCUCUAUUUUUGAUGUUUAUUCAUAGGCCAAAGUAGUUAUCUAUAUCACUUGUGUUGCUUUUCAUCUUUAGUUGUUCGGGUGAUACUUGAGAAAACUGCUUUAGAAUGGAUCUUAUUUCUGAUUAGUUAUAAAACCUUCAGUCUUAGCAUGAAGAAAUCUAUUAUUGAUUGUCAACUGACUCAAAGAACACCACUUCAAUUCUUUUCCCUUUUCUCUCAUCUUUGUUGAAGAGCUUGAAUUGAGGAAGAAUGAUAUAUUUUCUUAUAAAAUAUGUUUAUAUAGAUUCUCCAUCCCCUAAACAUGGAUUUGUAAUACAGUUUUCUGCUCCUUAUAUUUAGACAUAAUUCGGAGAGCUUAUGUUGAUUUGUGGAGUUAAAGACUUGAUUCUCAUUGACGAAGCAUUUGCAAUAUUUCUGAAGUUGCAAAUGGAGGAAAGUGCUUAACACAUGAUUUGUUUGAUUAGAAUUGGUUUCUGUAUAUGACCUUGCAAAGGCUUUUUACUUCAAGAAUUAUAGAUAUAUGGAACAUUCAACUGCUAAAGGUUAUGCAUAUCCUGUACUGCUAAAAACUAUGCAACCCAGAAUAUUAGAUAUUAGAUCCGAAAAUGAGAUCCCAGCAGAUCCAGUGGUAUCAUAUAUAAUUUGGAAUUCUAUUCUUACACAUUAUUUUCUUCCGGGGUGGAGAUGAGACAUAAUUAGUCAUGCUUCGCCUUCUGUGUGGAGAUGAGAUCUCUUAGCUCCAACUGAAACCAUUUAAGUCAAGUUGCUUGCAACUAGAAGCAGCAUCAGUUUGGUCAUCCGUGUUUAGGUCCAGCUUAGGAGCAAAGUAAGGCAGCUCAUACUCUUGUGACGAUAUCUGCUUCUCUGGUUUCAUUGAAUCACUUCUCUCAGAAGAUUGAUGAAAUAGUUUACUGUCUGCAUUUAUUCCAUUAAGUCUUCCAUCAAAGUAGGUACUGCUAACAUUCCGUUUUCCUCCUUGAAGUCCAAUGUUCAUUGAUAAGUUGCUCCAACUUGUCUCUUUGGUAAAUUCUUUUUCUGAAUCCCCAUCCAUUUUGGGAAACAGUUUUCUGUUCUCCUUGAGGUCGUCACGCCAUCUUAGUUCAGUCUGCUGUAACCUGGUCUCAUUUUCAAUAUCCUUCGUACAUGGUCCGAAGUUUAAAGGCCUCAAACCAAUCUGGCUAUUAUGCAUUUCCCGCAGGUCCCUCAGGGGGCGUUCAGAGGACGUUAAGCAGCUAUCCAUUGAGCAAUCUGCUGGCGGGGUUGCUUGUGUUUGUGGGGUGUGAAAUCCUGAAAGUUCUUUUAUCUCUGAAAAAGCAGAAUUAAGGCAUUGGUUGGAUACUUUGGAUACCAAAUCAGACAGUUGAUCCUUGGCUGCCUCUAAUCCGAUUGUUCCCAAGUUUUGUGUUCCAAGGGUUUCUUGUGCUUUCUCAAGCACAGCUUGCAAAUAUUUCCCUUGAGCCUCUAUCCUUAGCUGCAAAUGUCGUUGCACCUAUAUCAGUUCAAUUAUGCCUCAUUUAGAUGCCAGCAAAGGAAAACUUUCAUUGACUUGUAAAGUUUGGAUAGAAGUAAAUCUAUGCAGAGUCUCUUAAUUUGGAUCGUCAAGUCUUAAAACAAAAGCACUAUCUGGGACCAGAAAAUAGACUAAGUAAUAUAUUGGAGUUCAAUUAGUCAUCAUCAGAAGCCCGUAAGGAAGAUUCUUCAUUACUAGUAAUGUUUGCAUAGAAUCACAUUGUUAAAUUAUUACUCCUUAGAGCAAAAUCUCUAUUUUGGACUAGGACUAUUAAACUACUUGCUCAAGCUGUUAUUCCAUUAUCUUGUUUCCACAAAUAUGAGAAAUAUGGUUCUGGUAAAUCAAUAUUCUUUAAUGAAAAUGAAAAUGCCUGAUAAUGUUUCAACAAUCUAUUGCUUCUGACUUUUCUUCAGAUUAUGACACAGGAUGUCUCAUCUGUUGCUACUAACAUAUUCCACAUUGGCUUUUAUGGUUCUAACUAAACUUAUGUAAGAGAAAUUUUGCAACAGUUUCUUACCUCAAGCUGUUCAUGCAGCCUUCUUUGGACUUCAAUUUGCAUUUGUAUUGCUUCGCUUAUUGGUAUGUUGCUGGACAAAAAGAAAUUUAUGGUCGCGAUAGUGUAAGGUAUGGUUUGGACAUGAAGCAGGAUGAUAUUAACAAUUCAAUUCUCUUAAUUCGUACUUGUUUUGUUGGGGUCCAAUGCUUGGAAUAUUGCUCAUAGGGGUUCCAGUGCUCUCGCAUAUCUUCUCUAUACUGGCUGCUGUAAUUAUUUACAAACAAUAAGUAUAUGAAGGUUCUCUAUCUGUGGAAGAAGCUUUCUGGAUAUAUAUAUCCUUGAAAAAUAUUGGAUUUCUUUUUCUUACCAGAUUUAUUGGCCCCGCUAAUAUUUGCUUGUCCAUGGAGGUUCUUACUUAGUCUGUAUUUCUGCCAGCCAAAAUAGAAAAUUAGAUUUUCAUGAGCAAUUCAAACGUAUCUGAAUGACUGAAUGACAGGUUUGCUCUUCAAUUAUUUGACAUAAACAAUUUUAACGGUCUUUCCAGUUGAUUUGGCAGAUUUUUUCGCUCUUAACCAAAUGUUUUUUGUUUGGAAUGGUGUAUGGCAGCUAUGUUAUGAAGGUUUUUCAUGUCUGAUUUUCCCUCUUGAAAUGUCUAGUUUCUUCACAUCUAAUUUUGUAAACCAAGGAAUGAAUAAAAACUAACCUGAAGAUGGCUCUUUAAGUGGUACAAGGUUAGUCCCGGGAUCCCCAUAAGUUUCAGAACUGAUUUCGGAGUGGCUUCUGCAAAAGAAGAAUGGUGAAUUUAAUUAUCUCAAUGAAAAAUAACAUACAUAUAUAUGGAGCUUAUCCAAAUUAACAAAUUUUGUGUGCACUUACUGUCUGCUCCACCUAGUUGGUUAACUGCUUCUAUAAACCUCUCAUGGAGGUCUGCUGUCCAUUUCAAUCUUGGCUUAGCAUCGGUCGAAAGAACAAGCCCUGAGUCUCCAUUGACAUUCCCAGCUUGCAGGAACAGAUGCCUUUCGGGGAAAGACAUUCUUGUCGAAGGGUGCAUAUUGGCAGCUUGGUGGUGAUGGUACAUCUUCUGGCCUUGAAUAUGAAUAUAUGAUGAUCAGCAAAUAAGUCUUACGGUAGGAUUUAUAGGAAUGAUGGGCGACAAAGUAUUUGUCACGUACGUGGAAGGAAUCUGAUGUCGCUUCAGGUUCAGUGACUCCAGUCUUUUCUUACCUUUUUAAUAGCAAGUAAUGAUUCUUUACUAUUCCUCACAGUAUAUAACAUUGUUUUACAUUUGGUUAAACAAAGGUGUCAGCUACAACUCUAUAUAUAUCUCAUUGUUUUCUUUGACCAAAUCCACAAAAAAGAUAUAAGGCAAGAUUCUAUGGAUUUAACUGAACCAAUUGUUUUCUGCUCGAACCAGGUAUAUAUACGAAGAAAAAAACAUUUAAAAUGUAUAUAUAUAAUAAGAUUACACUCAUUGUAAACUCAAUGAUUCUAGAUCCUGAAUUUGCCUCCGACUCUCAACCAAUCUAAUUUUCAUAGCAGCUAAAGAUAAAGGUGUUGGUUUUACACAUUUAUGGGUCCAGAAUGCAAGUUCGCUUUCUAAUCUACGGGAAAGGCACCAUGCAUUAUAUUCCUCUGCACUAUAAGUUCCUGAAACACUUACACACCUUACAAUAGGUACAAGAAUUGAUCCAGCAAAGACUUUUUUCUAUGCAAACAUAUUCUUUAUCUGGCAAAGUUUGGGAACCAUAUUCCGAGAAGUAAUAGUGGAAUAUUUUUUUUUCCUGAUGGAGACGGGAGGAAUCCACUAUCUAUGAUGUCUUGAAAACUACAACACCAUCUACGCUUUCGAAUGGAAGAUUCUAUUGACUGCAGCAUCUAGUACUGGGAAUUAGAUACAUGGAAGAAAAAAAGGCAAAAAGGUAAGAAAAUGGUUGAGAUGGUUCUCCUAUUGAACGCCUAAACAAAAAAUAUGAACAUUCUUUCUUUGGUUUCAGUUUGUUUAGUUAUGGACGUUCUAUGAAUAUUAUGUUGAUUAUAGCUUGUCCUGGCAAAAGUAAAUAAUCUAGUGUCUUGAGUUUCUAAACCUCAUUGUUUUACCAAAGCUUUGCUAGUAAUAAUUUUUCUUUCUUAUUUGUUUGUCAAGCCAUGUCAUGCUAUUCAAUUUCAUUUCCCCAUUUCCCUAGAUUUGUGCUUGCAUAUAUUUAUUUCAGGUAUGAGGAAAAAUUCAUCUAUUUAUGAAGUUUGAAUGUCCCUUCGAGGUCUUGCACGUUUUUUUUUUUAAUUUUAUGGGGAGCGGGGUGCGCAAUUUAUGUUGGUGUUGGCCUGCAGCAGCGCCUCUUUGCUCUGUCCAGUGCUAUGAUGUUUAGACACGGUAUAGACACAAGCAUGCCAGUUUUAGAUGGUUAAUAACUUUAAUGCAACAUCUUGGCCUGUACAUAGUGAUAUGAACUUCUUGAAUAUCUUGAGCAUUCUGUUCAUUCUAUGGUAUUUUAAAAUUUAUGUGAAUAGGGAAAAUGGAUGAAGAAAUAAAAUAAAAAGAAAUAGUGGAGAGAUGCUUCUUCGCUUGGUCUGAAGGCUAGGAAUCGAAUGAAGAAUACUAUCUUGUUGUCUCCUUCAGUAAACUUGGUACUUAUUCAGCCUAAAAUAGAGAGAAGAGGACCUCCAGCUAAAAGUUUUCUAUUCUUUUAUUGGUAUGAAAUGGCCAUCUCCAAAGCAUUGGGACCCCUUUCUAAAGAAUAAAUAAAUCAAUACUUGUUUGAUGGAAAACAUGACUACUCGCAACUGAAAGAUCCCUAUUUACCGAUCCCUUGACUUAAGUCUUAAUUGGUUUUGGAGGUACCCUUGAAGAAUCUAUAUAUCCUGUUCUUACAAAAUAACUUUUGUGCCCGUUUAUGGGUUGAAACGUGCCCAUACGACACAUAAAGAUACAGUUCACUUUGUUUUUAAUCGUAGUUCUAUUUUCUUGGACAAGCUUGAGAAACUUAAUUUAUCCUCAUAUGUUGAAUAUAUAGUUUUCUUCUUAAAAGAACAUCCUAAUUUUGUGAAACUUUUUUUUCCCUUCUCUUUUAUCUGUUUAGUUUUUGUAGGGAUUUCAGGGAACUCAUACUAAGCUAAAGGCUUAUCCUAUUUUGCACCUCUGCCUCGUUUACUUUGUGUUAUUAAGUGUAUAUCUGUUUUUUCAUGUUUGCUCAUAGGAAUAUAUUAGGAACUAUUACAAUGAGUAAAAAAGAGUGUAGUGCGCAUCGAUUGAUCGAGGGAGGGAGGAAGCUUUUUAGUAUAAAUUGAGCUGUGUAGCAUUUCAAUCUACUGUAUAGAUAUAGACGAUUACAUUGGAUAAUAUUUUCAAAGGAGAAUCUUGUUACUGUUAUCAAGGAAUUGAUCCUGGAGAUCAUUUAUACUUUGAAUAUUUUCUUGGAUCAGUCCUUCAAGUUUCAUUUAAUGGCUAUGAUAUGUUAGUUGAAAAGCAUGCCACUCCCUUCAUUUCAUGUUUUGGCUAAUGGAUUAUAACCUGGAUAUUAACACAGCCUAUUAAAAUAAGCAAAGAAUAUUAUCAACUGAUGAACAGCCAAUAUAAUGCAGAAUAAAUUCGCAUACUAAGCAUUGGAACCUAGGUCUACCUUUUGGCUAUUGAGAAUACAAGUUGAAAAUCUGCCGCUGUUGAACAAAAUGAGGUUAUUGCAUUGCAAAAUUAAGAAACGCUAGGUUCCAGAAGGAAAAAGAAAAAUUGACAUUAUUAUUGGUUAGGCUUAUGUUUUGUAUGUUUAAUUAGAUACAAUUUGAUUAAAAAAAAAAAAAAAAAAGUGAAAAUUCCUCAUCUUGACAUGAUAUGCACAUUAGUUUCAGUUGAACUGAACUUUUGCAGAAAAUAAAGAAUAAGGUGACUAUUAUAUGUUAGAGUAUUUUAUGGAGUUUGGAGUAAUGCAUUUUGUAUUCAGUUUAAAGGAAUCUAUUACAACCUUUAGUUGAAGUGGUAAACAGAAUCUCAAAUGUUUUUUCUGGCAUAAGGGUAGUUGUAGCAAGUGCUAGCUCUGAAUACUUUCUCUGAUGCUCUGAUCAAUAUGAGAGUUUCCAUGUUUUUUAAUGUUCUUUCAUCGCAUAUAACCAGAUUCAUUUUUGCUUAUGAGAACAACAAUAACAACCCAGUAUAAUCUCACUAGUGGGGUCUGGGGAGGGUAGUGUAUACGCAAACCUUACCCCUACCCGGGGGUAGAGAGGCUGUUUCCGAUAGACCCUCGGCUCCCUCCCUCCAAGAACUCCCCACCUUGCUCUUGGGGUGACUCGAACUCACAACCUCUUAGUUGGAAGUGGAGGGUGCUCACCGCCAGAGCAAUCCACUCUUGUCCAUUGCGUAAACAUCCGCAGGGACCAUNNNNNNNNNNNNNNNNNNNNNNNNNNNNNNNNNNNNNNNNNNNNNNNNNNNNNNNNNNNNNNNNNNNNNNNNNNNNNNNNNNNNNNNNNNNNNNNNNNNNNNNNNNNNNNNCGUCCCCGGCCGGCACGCGGCGACCCGCUCUCGCCGCGGGAGCAGCUCGAGCAGUCCACCGACAGCCACGGGUUCGGGACUGGGACCUCGUGCCCAGCCCUCAGAGCUAAUCCUUUUCCUGAAGUUUGGAAUUUGUACAUGUUAAUCCUACUAGCAUAGAUAUCGAGUAAUUCUGUCCACAAAGACUUUGACAGAUGAUUUUUUUUAAGUAGUGAUCUUAAUUUUUCAAAGGACCAUCCUCGGCUUCAUCAAGGGAAAGGAUGAACAGAGAGGACAGAAAAUGGGAAGCUUUUCUCCUAUCAAUGUAAAACAAAACACACUAUCAUCUAAUUCAUCUUGGAAAAUCUUGGUUUGUGAAGGUUAACAACUUGGUCUGGUUGAGUUUUUGCUACAAACAUGUAGUAGUAAUAACUUUAAUGUCAUGUCUCUUUGAAGCAGGGGCGGAGGCAGGAUCGAGGACCAGUGGAUUCAAAAAAAUGCUAAAAUGACACAUCUGGAAGUUUUCCUUGUUUUAAUAAGAUUCAACAUUCAAUAUAUAUACGUAAGAAAAGAUUUCACCUAUGCAUAGGGUAACUUUCAACAAAAGGAAUUCAAUUGAGCGCCAUCGGGCCAAUGUGACUCCGCCACUGCUUUGAAGGACCCAAGCUCUUUUCUAAUAAGCAUGUCACAAGAAAGUACUUAAUUUAUCCUUGGUGUUGCCAAAAAGCCAUGACUGUUGUUUCUCGCUUUUUUCAUACAGUUUAGAAUAGAACCCCAUUUGCUCUUUUC